This 1579-nucleotide long non-coding RNA is filed under the name Rattus norvegicus (Norway rat). Its description in RNAcentral is "long non-coding RNA NONRATT010947". Lineage: Eukaryota; Metazoa; Chordata; Mammalia; Rodentia; Muridae. The record is from RNAcentral.
GGACCCGGGCCGGGCGCCCGGAGAGGCGGAGUUGCGGCGUCGCCCUUCGCCACAGCUCGCGGCAGCCGCGCCUCGGGGGCGGGGGAGGUGGUGACAGAGCCGCAGGGGUCUUGGGGCCCUGCAGAACCGUGGGCUGCUGGACUAGGCAAUCAGCAGAAGAACAUGGCGCCCUGGACACUCUGGCGCUGCUGCCAACGCGUAGUGGGCUGGGUUCCGGUGCUCUUCAUCACCUUUGUGGUCGUCUGGUCCUACUACGCGUACUGUUUCCAGAACAGGAGAAAAAGGAAAGACCGUUGUUUACCUUGUGGCUUUCCAUCUGUUCUUUGUUAUGUUUGUAUGGUCCUAUUGGAUGACAAUUUUCACAUCUCCCGCUAGCCCCUCCAAAGAGUUCUACUUGUCAAACUCUGAGAAGGAACGUUAUGAGAAGGAAUUCAGCCAAGAAAGACAGCAAGACAUUUUGAGAAGAGCAGCAAGAGACUUGCCUGUCUACACCACGUCAGCUUCAAAAGCUAUCCGAUAUUGUGAAAAAUGUCAGUUGAUUAAACCUGACCGGGCCCAUCACUGCUCAGCAUGUGACAGAUGUGUUCUUAAGAUGGAUCAUCACUGUCCAUGGGUGAAUAACUGUGUGGGAUUUACUAAUUACAAGUUCUUCAUGCUGUUUUUGUUGUAUUCUCUGCUGUAUUGCCUUUUCGUGGCUGCAACAGUUUUAGAGUAUUUUAUAAAAUUUUGGACGAAUGAACCAACAGUUUUAACGUUCCCCAGCGCAAAGUUCCCCAGCGCAAAGUUCCAUGUUCUGUUCCUGUUCUUUGUGUCUGCAAUGUUCUUCGUCAGUGUGCUUUCACUGUUCAGCUACCAUUGCUGGUUGGUUGGAAAAAAUAGAACAACAAUAGAAUCAUUUCGUGCACCUAUGUUUUCUUAUGGAAUAGAUGGAAAUGGUUUCUCUCUUGGAUGCAGUAAAAAUUGGCGACAAGUCUUUGGUGAUGAAAAGAAAUAUUGGCUAGUUCCAAUAUUUUCAAGCUUGGGUGAUGGUUGCAGUUUUCCAACUCGCCUUGUGGGGAUGGAUCCAGAACAAGCGUCUAUUGCAAACCAGGGUGAAUACAUCAGAAGAUCUAAACUGCAGAGGUAGAAAGCAGAAAACUUGGGAGAUGACAGUAUUGGCUCAAAUCAACCUUUUCCUAUCAAACCACUUAGUGAGUCAAAAAACCGUUUGUUGGACAGUGAAUCUCAGUGGCUAGAGAAUGGAGCUGAGGAAGGAAUCACCAAAUCAGGGACAAAUAACCAUGUUACAGUGGCAAUAGAAAAUUGAGUACUGCCUGUUCAUAACUAACCAUUUGAUGAGUGAAAGGUAUAUAAAAACACAUUUUGGACUAUUUUCAGUUUUAUUUGGAAGAAAAUGAUGGAUGGAAUGAAAUACUCGCAGUAUAACAGAAGAUAUAUUUUUAAAAGGACGUGUUUGUACAGUGAUGGCUCCACAGAAGCACUACAAAGCAGAAAGAUGCCUUAAUUCUUAGUGUCCAUUGUGUAACAUUGCCUCACAGCUCAAAAGUGACUUAAUUCUUAGUGUCCAUUGUGUAACAUU